Molecule: ribosomal RNA, 463 nt
Filed under: uncultured Glomus
Lineage: Eukaryota; Fungi; Glomeromycota; Glomeromycetes; Glomerales; Glomeraceae
Description: SSU rRNA
Rfam family: Eukaryotic small subunit ribosomal RNA
Source: RNAcentral
AGCAGCCGCGGUAAUUCCAGCUCCAAUAGCGUAUAUUAAAGUUGUUGCAGUUAAAAAGCUCGUAGUUGAAUUUCGGGAUCAAUUUAUCGGUCGUGCCAAUGGUAUGAACUGGUACAAUUGGUUUCUCCCUUCUGACGAAGCAUGAUGUCAUUAAUUUGGUGUCGUGGGGAAUCAGGACUGUUACUUUGAAAAAUUAGAGUGUUUAAAGCAAGCAUUAGCUUGAAUACAUUAGCAUGGAAUAAUGAAAUAGGACGUUUGAUCCUAUUUCGUUGGUUUCUAGGAUCGACGUAAUGAUUAAUAGGGAUAGUUGGGGGCAUUAGUAUUCAAUUGUCAGAGGUGAAAUUCUUGGAUUUAUUGGAGACUAACUACUGCGAAAGCAUUUGCCAAGGAUGUUUUCAUUAAUCAAGAACGAAGUUAGGGGAUCGAAGCGAUCAGAUACCGUCGUAGUCUUAACCAUAAAACU